Molecule: ribosomal RNA, 382 nt
Filed under: Anthomyza equiseti
Lineage: Eukaryota; Metazoa; Arthropoda; Insecta; Diptera; Anthomyzidae
Description: partial 16S large subunit ribosomal RNA
Source: RNAcentral
UCGAAGGUAGCAUAAUCAGUAGUCUUUUAAUUGAAGGCUGGAAUGAAUGGUUGGAUGAGAUAUUAACUGUUUCAUUUAAAAUUUAUAUAGAAUUUUAUUUUUUAGUUAAAAAGCUAAAAUUAUAUUAAAAGACGAGAAGACCCUAUAAAUCUUUAUAUUUUAUUUUUAUUAAUUAUUUAGAUAUUUUUAAUUUUUAUUAAUUAAAAUAUUUUAUUGGGGUGAUGUUAAAAUUUAAUAAACUUUUAAUUUUAAAAUACAUAAAUUUAUGGUUGUAUGAUCCAUCAUUGGUGAUUAAAAAUUUAAGUUACUUUAGGGAUAACAGCGUAAUUUUUUUGGAGAGUUCAUAUCGAUAAAAAAGAUUGCGACCUCGAUGUUGGAUUAA